GGGCCUUUAGCUCAGCUGGGAGAGCGCCUCCAUGGCAUGGAGGAGGUCGUGGGUUCGAGCCCCAUAAGGUCCACCA
This 76-nucleotide transfer RNA is filed under the name Candidatus Alloenteromonas pullicola. RNAcentral's name for it is "tRNA-Ala". It matches the Rfam family "tRNA". Rfam says of the family: Transfer RNA (tRNA) molecules are approximately 80 nucleotides in length. Their secondary structure includes four short double-helical elements and three loops (D, anti-codon, and T loops). RNAcentral also lists the same sequence under 1 other name. Lineage: Bacteria; Bacillati; Bacillota. The record is from RNAcentral.